GUUUUUAGGGUUCCGUAGCCAAAUAGCAAAAAACGGAACCCUUGUAGAUUCAUCAUGUCUGUCCGUCUGUCUGUCCGUGUAUGUCACAGCCACUUUUUUCCGAAACUAUGAGAACUAUACUCUUGAAACUUAGUAAGUAGAUGUAUUCUGUGAACCGCAUUAAGAUUUUCACACAAAAAUAGAAAAAAAAACAAUAAAUUUUGGGGGUUCCCCAAACUUAGAACUGAAACUCAACAAUUUUUUUCUUCAUCAAACCCAUACGUUUUGUGCGAGAGACACUUCCAAAGUGGUAAAAUGUGUGUCCCCCCCCCCCCUGUAACUUCUAAAAUAAGAGAAUGAUAAAACUAAAAAAAAAUAUAUGAUAUACAUUACCAUGCAAACUUCCACCGAAAAUUGGUUUGAACGAGAUCUAGUAAGUAGUUUUUUUUUAAUCGUCACAAA
Molecule: long non-coding RNA, 441 nt
Organism: Cydia fagiglandana
Lineage: Eukaryota; Metazoa; Arthropoda; Insecta; Lepidoptera; Tortricidae
Exons: 2
Source: RefSeq, a predicted model, not a curated record